CCUACGGGAGGCUGCAGUGGGGAAUAUUGGACAAUGGGCGAAAGCCUGAUCCAGCCAUGCCGCGUGUGUGAAGAAGGCCUUCGGGUUGUAAAGCACUUUCAGUGGGGAAGAAAGCCUUGGGGCUAAUACCCUCGAGGAAGGACAUCACCCACAGAAGAAGCACCGGCUAACUCCGUGCCAGCAGCCGCGGUAAUACGGAGGGUGCGAGCGUUAAUCGGAAUUACUGGGAGUAAAGCGUGCGUAGGCGGUCUGAUAAGCCGGUUGUGAAAGCCCCGGGCUCAACCUGGGAACGGCAUCCGGAACUGUCAGGCUAGAGUGUAGGAGAGGAAGGUAGAAUUCCCGGUGUAGCGGUGAAAUGCGUAGAGAUCUGGAGGAAUACCAGUGGCGAAGGCGGCCUUCUGGACUGACACUGACGCUGAGGUGCGAAAGCGUGGGUAGCAAACAGGAUUAGAUACCCGGGUAGUC
RNAcentral lists this ribosomal RNA (465 nucleotides) under Vreelandella stevensii. RNAcentral describes it as "partial 16S ribosomal RNA". It matches the Rfam family "Bacterial small subunit ribosomal RNA", at positions 338 to 795 of the family's 1533-position model. Lineage: Bacteria; Pseudomonadati; Pseudomonadota; Gammaproteobacteria; Oceanospirillales; Halomonadaceae. The record is from RNAcentral.